GUGUUUAAGGUGCCGCUUGGCACAUACAAUAACAACUCUCGAAGCUAACAAUAAUUUCUAAAACCCGGAAUCUCACGAAUCACAAGCUAAGAGAUACAUAAGAAGCUCUGGAAAUGUCUAAAGAAAGGAAAAAUACUGUUAUUACAGAAAGAUAAAAAGGGACUCCUCGGUCUGCGGACGCGACAGAUAUACCUCAAAGUCUCUACAGAAACGCCUCCUCCCAAGGAUGAUAGAACUGAGUGGAAGUACCUGGAUCUGCACAAUAAAAAUGUACAGAAGAGCAACAUGAGCACACCACAGCGGUCCCCAGUAAGUAUCAAGACUAAUCUCAGUGGAGUAGUGAUGAGGAACAGUCAAGACACCUAUCGGUUCAAUAAACUGUACAAAUAUAGGAACAACGGGACAUGAUUUAUAUAUAAAGACUAGACGAAAUGGCUAACAAUACUACGAUCUCAAUAAGGGAAGAAAACCGCAAGCAACACAAAAUACCAAAAUAAUGACACAGAAGAGCGAUCAAAAACACAAACCAAAUCCUAGAGUCACAAUACAUUAAAGGUAAGCAAUAACUCAGAUCCUAUGACAGUGUUCACAUCAGGUCUUAUCCAACAAUUUCUACGAAAUACCGAACCUCGAACAAUUACAACUCACGAGUCCCAGUACCAGAAAUCUAACACUUGGCAUCUUGUGCCCCCAUCAGCCUCAUGGUCAUACUGACAACUCACUUGCUAACCAGAGCCACUCUCACAUAUAUAAUAAGUAAACGAGGGUGUACAUCUAUACUUAGCAAAAUCAGGAGGACUUCACAUCCAAUAGGAGUGUAAAACUACGUGUAUGCUUGUGCAAGUGCUCUAAUAAAAUUCCUACUAGCUAAUAGACAUAAGGAGAAGAGCAGAUAACACAUACGAUGUUUCCUCACAACUUCAACGAGAUAAAGCUCAUACACGUAAGCAUACCACAAUCACAAUAUUAAACAAACAGGAACGCCCCCAGGCCAUCACAAAUCCUCACAAUCAAUCCCUGACAUAGCCCACCUUGUCUCGCCACGUGUGCAAAUAACAACAUAAUAAGUGUCCGCCUUGUUUCACCACACGUGCAUCAUAAUGUUCCCACCUUAUCUCGCCACAUGCGCAACCCACAUAUAAGCAUAUAAACAUAUCCCGCCUUGUCACGCCGCAUGUGCAAUAUAUCAAUAGUAACAAUAGCAUGGCAAAGACCUCGUGCAACCCCUCAACAACAAACGCACGGCAGAGACCUCAUGCACAACACAACCACAACCGCACGGCAGAACCUCGUGCAACCCCUCAACAACAACCGCACGGCAAAGACCUCAUGCACCAACACAACCACAACCAUAAGGCAGAGAUCUCGUGCACCAACACAACCCGCACAACAAUAACAGUGACAGUAAUACAAAAUAUAGCGAGUGAAUCCACUCCAAAACUUCAAAUCACAAGGAAUCGGUAUAACCAGUUCACAAGAAUAGCCACAGUAAGAAAAAUGAAAGGCAUAAAGGGGACAGUUCAACGAAAGGGGAAAUUAACAUGUAGUGACAAUGCCAAAUAAACAAAAUCAAUACAAGGAAGACAACACGAGUCUAGUAUCCCAAAUAAAGGCAAGUCAACAAAGAUAUAGAUCGUCUAAACUCCGUUUAAGGUGGGGAAAUUACAAGAACAUUCGGUAAUUUCAGUUAAGGGAAAGUGAUCUUAGGUGCACUUAAGAUAGGCGAUUAUAGGAGGGAUGACAAUAACUCUCAGUAACGCAGACAGUUAUGAAAAGGUAGCAUGAUGAUAAGAGAAACGGAGUUCUUCAGUUAAAUCAAAUAAGAUGACAAUUAGGCAAUAAGAGUAAAUCAUGCAGCAAACAAUUCCAACUAAGCAUGUAGAGACGAAACUAAUAAGCAGGAACUCAGUCAUAUCAAGAAUAACUCCAUACCUAGUGAAUAUAAGAACCCUAAAAGGCCAAUUAUCCACAAUUAAGUCCAGGUACGCACUCGUCACCUCGCGUAUACGGAUUUCAAUCAACAUAGAAGACUCAAUCCUAAGGGGAAGUCUCCCACACAAGGCUAGGCAUGAUACUUACCUCAAAGACGACAACUCGGUACUCUAAGAUGAGCUUCUCGGGCGAAAAGACCUCCGGGCAGCUCAAAUCCAACUAUAUCAACUCCAAAACACACAUAAAUCGAAUAAGGAAUUAUUCCGAAUAAUAAAGUUUCAAUCUUUACAAAAAUAUAAAAAUCGAUCCAAAAGUCGACCCUACGGCCUGCACCUCAGAACCCAUCAAAUUUUACAAAAUCCGAUCACCCAUUCCAAAAUGAGUUCUACCAUACAAAAUUUAUCCAAUUCCGAUACCAUUUGGUCCGUCAAAUCAUGAUUUUUCGCUUUGAAAUUUUUCUUCAAAAACCAAUUUUCCCCAACCUAAAAUACAAUUUAAAUGAUAAAAUAAAGACAAAUUCAUGGAAUAUAUUUAAUUCUAGUUGAAGAACACUUACCCAAUCGAAUUUCGUGAAAAAUCCAACAAAAAUCGCCAAGAACCAAGCUAUAGAAGUCAAAAUGUGAUGAAAAUGGUGAAACCCUCGAUUUUGGGAUAUAUUCUGUCUGCCCAGGUUUUUAUGCAUCGCGAACGCGAAGAGAGGGCCGCAUUCGCGAAGAAGAAAAGUUAAGGCUGCCCAGGUUGCUCUUCGCAAAUGCGAUGAUGAUCUGGCAAACGCGGAGGAGAAAAAUGCAAGGCUUCGCGAACGCAAAGGGAAGGACGCGAACGCGCGGGGCUUCGCGAACGCGAAGAGAAGGAUGCAAACGCGAAGAAGAAUUUCGAGGUGGUCAGCAACAAGGCAUCGCGAACGUGAGAGGCUGUUCGCGAUCCCGAAGAAGGAUAUCAGAAGCAGCAAAAUAGCAUUUCCAAAAAUGGGGAAAAAUACCCGUAAUCCACCCGGAACACACCCAAGGCCCCCGGGACCCCGUAUAAACUCACAAACAAGUCACAUAACCUAACACGGACUCGCUCGAGGUCUCAAAUCACAUCAAACAACACUGAAAUGAUGAAUCACACCAUGAAUCGAACUAUGAACUUCCAAGUCUUCCAAAUUUGAAAACUUGUGCCGAAACCGAUCAAAUCAACCUGGAAUGACGCAAAAUAUUGCAGACAAGUCCAAAAUGAUAUGGCGAAGCUGCUCCAACUCUCGGAAUCACAUUUCAACCCUAAUAUCACAAAAAUCAACUAUGGGUCAAACUUCUCCAUUUUUCAAACAUUAAUUUUUCCAACUUUCGCCGAAAUGACUCUAUUUACCCUACGGACCUGCAAAUCUGAAUCUGGACGCACGCCUAAGUCCAAAAUCAUCAUACGAAGCUGUUGGAAUUAUCAAAAUUUCAUUCUAGGGUCGUUUACUCAAAAGUCCAAUUCCGGUCAAAUUCUCACCGUUCAAACUCCCAAAACUUCAUUCCUUCUUCCAAUUCUACUCUGAAUCAUCCAUUAAUCGAAUUCAACCAUGCACAUAAGUCGAUGCUCAUAUUACGAAGCUGUUCAAGACCUUACAUCGCUGAACGGAGAUUAAAUUCUCAAAACGACCGGCCGGGUCAUUACACCACACCUGCGGAAAAUCCAUUGCAGGUGCGGCUCCUACUUAUGCCCUCAGAAACCGCUUCUGCAAUCACAACACCGCACCUAUGGUCUCGUAGGUGCACUCCACUAUCCGCACCUACGUCUCUUGCCUCAGCUCUUCAAAAUCCUGCAUCUGCGAUUCACCUUCCGCAUCUGCGAUCAUCGCACCUACGGUUCCCACUCCGCAAGUGUAGAAAUAUCAGAAGCAUCAGCUUCAGCUACCUUAUUUCACUUUUCAACUCUCCGAUAGCCAUCCGAAUUCAUCCCGAGGCCCUCGGGACCUCAACCAAAAAUAUCAUCAAGACACAUAUCAUCAUUCUAACCUAUACCAACUUUCGGAAUACUCAAAACAACAUCGAAACACUAAAUCACUCUCGGAUUCAAUCCUAAGGAUUAUAAAACUUCUGAAUUCCGCAAACGAUGUAGAAACCUAUCAAACCUCACCCGAAUGACCUAAAAUUUUGCACACACAUCACAAAUGACACUACGAACCUACUCCAGUUUUUGGAAUUUCAUUCCGACCCCGGUAUCAAGAUUUCCAUUGCCGAUCAAAAACUCCAAAUUUCCAAUUUCGCUAAUUCAAGCCUAAAUCUAUCACGGACCUCCAAAUCACAUUCCGGACGCACUCCCAAGUCCAAAACCACCUAACAGAGCUAACCAAAUUAUAAAAAUCCAAAUCCGAGAUCGAAUACUAAAAAAUCAUAAUUUGGUUAAAACUUUCAAAUUUAAAGCUUCAAGCUGAGUAUUGUUCUUCCAAAUCUAUUCUGAUUAUCCUGAAAACCAAAACCGACGAUUUACAUAAGUCAUAAUACAUCAUACGGGGCUAAUCAUGCCCGUUACACCAAAACUCCCUCAAAAUUGAGAUAUAAACUCAAAAUAAUAUUCCUAAUUAUUUGCAACAACGCCUAAUCCAAAUAAAUAAUAAUUUUUGAAAAUCCAAAUUCGAAUUCAAAACUUCAAAGCUUUUUAAUGGCUGUCAAUGAUGAAAUUGUUGAUAUCUUUUUCUUUGCUUUAUAUUACUUAAACUAAGGAUUGAGCGAUAGAGAAAGACGUAGAGUGAAUUCUCAAUUGUUUGCGACAACACUCAAUUCAAACAAAUAAUGUUUUUUGAAAAUUCAAAUUCGAAUUCAAAGCUUCAAACUUUUUUAAUGGCUGUCAAUGAUAGAAUUGUUGCUUUCUUUUCUUUUGCUCUACAUUAUUGGAAUUAGGGAUUGAGAGAUAGAGAGAGAUGUAGAAAGAGAGAGCGCAGGAGAGAGAGAGAAUAAGGAUGAGAAAUAAUUGAUUACUAUUAUAAAGGGAUACUCAUUAAUUCCUAAAGUGUAUAUAAUUGGUAAAUUUGUAUGUAGAAAGUAAUUAAAUUGAAACUUGAGUGGGGAGGGUAAUAAAGUAUCCAAUAGUGUAUAGGUAUGUAAAAAUCCCAAAUUUUAUUAUAGUAAAUAUGCUUUAAUCAAUAAUUUAUUAGCCCAGCUAGCAUUUGAUAUCAAUUUCCCGUUUCUUAGCUGUCCUAUCUUUAAAUUGUAAACAAAAUUCAUACAACAAACUUAAUUAUUCUCACUUAUAUUUAUAGGUUACUAAUCAUUUCAUACUUCAAAAAAAAAAAAAUUGAAAACGACAAUGAUUAUAUACAUCCUACAAAACAUCGUCAAAUUCGAAGGAACAAAAAGUUCCGCAUGCAAAUUUUUAAAGACGUGAAAAAUAUUAAAUUAAUAGGGGGCGCAUCAAAUGAAACCAAAUCCAUAUCUAAGCAGGACCACAAACAGACACGCAAACAACAAAGAUUUAAGGCAAAAGAUUGGACCUUUAGUAAUAAAAUAUUUCUUCUAUUAACAAGCACCUCCAGUGAAAUUACAACGGCUGAAUCGACGUCAAAUGGACCCCAACAAUGAAAACCCGCCUGAACCUGAACAGAAAAUGCAGCGGCACCAGAACCUCGCCGUCAACUCGAACGGAACUAGAAACCAAUGAAUGGAGCUUUAAGUGAACUCGAUCUCAACAGAAACGCAGCUUUUUAUGAGGAACAGAGGGAUGUUUUAAAGUAUUUUGAUGGGGGUUUUGGGUUUUAAUCGGAGCUUUUGGCCGGUUUUCAUGGAUGCUUGGGGCUGGUUUCAAUGGGAGAUGGUGGUGAGAUGGGGUGGAAAUUUUGUGGUGUUAAAGCCGGAGAAGAGAGGCUGAAGGUUUCUGAGUUUUCUCCUGCAGAGACGGAACUCUAAUUGAGGAAGAAGGCUGCCCAUUUUUUUCGUUUUCCAGAUCCCUUUUCAAAUUCUUGCCCAAUUCCUUCUUUUUCCUUUUUUCUUGUUUUACUUCCUGACCUUCUUUUCCUUUUUCAUCUGUUACUUCCUCCUAAUCCAAGACUUCCUCUCGUUCUUUUCUUUCUUUUUAUAAGUAAAAUCCUCGGCAGUUUGUUGUUGUUCCCCUUAUUUGGAGUGGGGGACCGUGAUUUUGUGUAUGCAUUGUGUCGUCUGUUUGUG
This 6062-nucleotide long non-coding RNA is filed under the name Nicotiana tabacum (common tobacco). RNAcentral's name for it is "long non-coding RNA (NTAB_LNC012909)". The record is from RNAcentral. Lineage: Eukaryota; Viridiplantae; Streptophyta; Magnoliopsida; Solanales; Solanaceae.